This 238-nucleotide ribosomal RNA is filed under the name uncultured bacterium. Its description in RNAcentral is "partial 16S ribosomal RNA". It matches the Rfam family "Bacterial small subunit ribosomal RNA", at positions 118 to 354 of the family's 1533-position model. The record is from RNAcentral.
UGAGCAAUCUGUCCUUCUCACCGGAAUAAGCGUUGGAAACGACGUCUAAUGCCGAAUACGACCUCCUUUCGCAUGANCGGGGGGUGGAAAGCUCCGGCGGAGAAGGAUGAGCUCGCGGCCUAUCAGCUAGUUGGUGUGGGUAAUGGCCCACCAAGGCGACGACGGGUAGCCGGCCUGAGAGGGUGACCGGCCACACUGGGACUGAGACACGGCCCAGACUCCUACGGGAGGCAGCAGG